ACACCUUACUAAUACUGACUCUACCAAACAUUAAGAACACCUUACAUACUUUUCCCCUCAAUGUGUUGGGGCCUGGACUCUACAAGGUGUAGAAAGUGUUCCACAGAGAUGCUGGACCAUAUUGACUCUAAUGCUUCCCACAGUUGUGUCAAGAUGGCUGGAUGUCCUUUGGGUGGUGGACCAUUCUUUAUACACACAGGAAACUGUUGAGUGUGAAAACUCCAGCAGCGUUGCAGUUCUUGACACAAACUGGUAUCACCUGGAACCUACUAGCAUACCCUGUUCAAAGACACAUCUUCUGCCUUGGCUAUUCACCCUCUGAAUGGUACACAGUCCAUGUCUCAACUGUGUCAGGGCUUUAAAAACAUCCUUGUUUAACCUGUCUCCUCCUCUUCAUCUUCACUGAUUGAAGUGGAUUUAACUAGUGACAUCAAUAAGGGAUCAUAGCUUGGAUUCACUUGGUCAGUCUGUCACAUUCUUAAUGUUUUGUCUGCUCAGUGUACAAGUAUGCCUUGUGAGUAUUAAUGUUACUACCUCCUUGUUCAGACUAUCAGGAAGCUGAAGUGAAUACGAAUAUCGCCCACAAACACCCUCGCCGCCAUGUGCUCGAGCUGAGUUGGUCACGUGGGUUGGUUACACAGGAAGCUUCCUCUCUUCUCUGCAGACCUGUCUAUUGCAGGACGAGAGGCUCACUCUCAUAGCCAGAGAUUACAUGAAGACAUUUUAAAACUCUGUGUUAUAGCUCUGGAGACAAACAUCUUGCCAUUUACAGUAGAUCUCUGAAACAUGUAGUUACCCUCCAGCUAUCCAUCCACAAUGCUCAGACCAGUUUGGUUGCUUACCUCCUGAACUGAGGAAUGGGAGCACUGUAACAGACCAGGGAAGACUCAACUCCAAACAAGGUUCAGUACUGUAACAGACCAGGGACAGCCUCUAGGGAACACAUCACCCUGAAGCAGGUUCAGUACUGUAACAGACCAGGGACAGCCUCUAGGGAAUACAUCACCCUGAAGCAGGUUCAGUACUGUAACAGACCAGGGACAGCCUCUAGGGAAUACAUCACCCUGAAGCAGGUUCAGUACUGUAACAGACCAGGGACAGCCUCUAGGGAAUACAUCACCCUGAAGCAGGUUCAGUACUGUAACAGACCAGGGACAGCCUCUAGGGAAUACAUCACCCUGAAGCAGGUUCCUCAGGCAACGAGAGAACACAAGGCCUGGUCAAUGUUUUCCAGUUUACCACUGUGGAAUGUUAAUACUAAGACCACAGUUCAACAAAGUUUGUUUAGGAUUCCAGGUUUGAAUGAUUGGAGUGAGUGAGUGAGUUUACUGUACGUGCAUGUGUAUUGACAGAUAUUGGAGCACCUUUGCUAGUCCGAUUCCAUGAAACACCAUAACUAUAGUAACCAGGAGAACGAGCAGUAUGGGUCUCCGUCCCAAAUGGAACAAUAUUCCCUACAUAGUGCACUACUUUUGGCCAAAGGCCCAUAGGUUGAACUAUAGUACUUCGACUACAUAGUGCUCU
Molecule: long non-coding RNA, 1524 nt
Organism: Oncorhynchus tshawytscha (Chinook salmon)
Lineage: Eukaryota; Metazoa; Chordata; Actinopteri; Salmoniformes; Salmonidae
Source: Ensembl